UUCGCCUGGUUUUACAAAAACAUCUUUUCUUGAUUUAAUAUGAGAUUUGACCUGCCCAAUGAUUUAUUUAAUGGCCGCGGUAUUUUGACUGUGCAAAGGUAGCAAAAUCAUUAGUUUAUUAAUUGUGAACUUGUAUGAAUGGUUUGACGAAAUAUUAACUGUUUCUUAUUUAUGAUUAGAAUUUAAAUUUUGAGUUAAAAUGCUUAAUUUUAUUUUAUUAGACGAGAAGACCCUAUAGAUCUUUAUUUUUUUUUAUAUUAAUAAUUGGUAUAUUUAUAAUAUAAUGAUUUUUUUUGUUGGGGUGACAUGGAGAUAUUUGUAUUAAACUCUUUAUUUUUAUAUACAUUUAUUUUUGAUUAUUUGAUUUUAUUAUAAUAAUUUAAGAUUAGAUACCUUAGGGAUAACAGCGUUAUUUUUUUUGAGAGUUCUUAU
RNAcentral lists this ribosomal RNA (432 nucleotides) under Austrocarausius sp. 2 BRJ-2022a. RNAcentral describes it as "partial large subunit ribosomal RNA". Lineage: Eukaryota; Metazoa; Arthropoda; Insecta; Phasmatodea; Lonchodidae. The record is from RNAcentral.